RNAcentral lists this long non-coding RNA (919 nucleotides) under Homo sapiens (human). RNAcentral describes it as "HSALNT0360742". The record is from RNAcentral. Lineage: Eukaryota; Metazoa; Chordata; Mammalia; Primates; Hominidae.
UCACGGCAGGAGCGGGCGACAGAAUCCGGUCUCGGAGCCUCCUGUAGCGAGGUCUGCGCGGCAGGUGCACUGGGCGGACCUGGAGGCCGCGCCCUCCCCCCCCGCCUCCUGCCGCCCGGCAGCGCUGCGCGGAGCUGGCUCUGUCCACGUAGCGGGUGCUGAACGCCCCAUUCUGGCCCCUGGGUGCUCGCUUAGUCCCGGCCACGCGUGGCUGCUCGCCCUCGGGACACACUGGGCGCUGGGAAGGCCGGGCGGGGAGCGCGCACCGGAGAAACCGCUGUGGGAAUCCCGGCCACAUUUCCAGGCCCCUUGGGCCGUCCCACGCCAGACAAGAAAGCCCUGACUCCGAAACCCUGGGCGAGUGUGGAGGGCGCGCGGGGGUGGGGUGUACCCGCCCACGCAAACUGCUGCUGAUCUCCCUUAAAGCCGAGUUAGAGGCUUGGGGCGAGACAGGAGUGACGGGCGAUGCUGUCACUCCAUCUGUCAUUCUACCCAGCCUGCAGCAGCUGAAUUCGAACCCAGAGACUUCAGGCCUUUGCGUUGUUACCGCAGUCCGCAUUUCAAAGCCAGAGUUUGGCCACUGAGUCACCAUGACCUCGAGUACUGGCGGGGCCCGAGCCAGCAGAGCUAGCCACAGGAGGGAGCCUCCCAGGUGGUCGACCGGAGCCAGGUGCUGCCAGGCACCCGACUGCAGAGCUUGCCCUCCAGGUGAUCUCGCAGUAUCGGUGUUCACAAGCCCUGUAAGGCACUCGGGGUAUCCUGAAGGCUACAGAUUCUGCAAGGGCAGAGACUUUAAGGAACAGCCAUAGUCCUUCUCCAGCUCAAAAUCUGGACCAUGGGCACAAGGUACACAUUGGGACCAUGCCAGGAGCUCUCCCAGAGGAGGAGGCCAGGCUGGCAGGGAGCCAGGUAGAGUUAC